UACGUAGGGGGCAAGCGUUGUCCGGAAUCAUUGGGCGUAAAGCGCGCGUAGGCGGCCUCGUAAGUCCGUUGUGAGAGUCAAAGGCUCAACCUUUGAAAGCCGAUGGAUACUGUGAGGCUAGAGUCCGGAAGAGGCGAGUGGAAUUCCUGGUGUAGCGGUGGAAUGCGCAGAUAUCAGGAGGAACACCAAUAGCGAAGGCAGCUCGCUGGGACGGUACUGACGCUGAGGCGCGAAAGCGUGGGGAGCGAACAGG
RNAcentral lists this ribosomal RNA (253 nucleotides) under uncultured bacterium. Its description in RNAcentral is "partial 16S ribosomal RNA". It matches the Rfam family "Bacterial small subunit ribosomal RNA", at positions 524 to 776 of the family's 1533-position model. The record is from RNAcentral.